RNAcentral lists this ribosomal RNA (253 nucleotides) under uncultured bacterium. Its description in RNAcentral is "partial 16S ribosomal RNA". It matches the Rfam family "Bacterial small subunit ribosomal RNA", at positions 524 to 776 of the family's 1533-position model. The record is from RNAcentral.
UACGGAGGGUGCAAGCGUUAAUCGGAAUUAUUGGGCGUAAAGAGUUCGUAGGCGGUUUAUCAAGUCGCAUGUGAAAGGCUCGGGCUUAACCUGAGUUUGUCAUGCGAAACUGAUAAACUAGAGUCUGACAGAGGCAAAUGGAAUUCCCUGUGUAGCGGUGAAAUGCGUAGAUAUCAGAAGGAACACCAAUGGCGAAGGCAGCUUACUGGACAACAACUGACGCUGAGGCACGAAAGCGUGGGUAGCGAAAGGG